CUCGUGCCCUGUGGUGGUGCGGGCGGGCGCUGGGCACUCGGCCGGCUCGGGCUGCCUCCACAGCAGGUCGUUGCUGGGCUGGGGGACCUCGCGAAGACUCAUCGCUUCUGAAAAAGCAAGAGCAUCCCCACAACGAUGAGCACAGCCUUCCCGCAGCCACCCGGUGCAGACAACCCCUGCCGGCUCUGCUGCCCCCAAACUCACCGUUGUUGAUCCAAGUCAGGAGGCAGUGGAUGUCGCUGACGUCCUCCGGGACGUCUGAGCUCAUUGUCGCUGCUGGAAAAGCAAGAACAUCCCCAGUGGGCAAUGCCAGCUUUCCCACAGCCACCCGGUGCGGACAGCCUGCCGCCCGCUGCGCAGCCCCCAAACUCACCUCCUGAUUCCAGCGCUGCGCUGCUGCAGCCGAGCGGAGCCGUGGCGGGAUGGGGGCACACGUUGGUGGGCGCUGGGUGCCGCUGCUCCUGGGUGUGCGCCACGGCAUCUGCAAAGGGCCCCGUCGCCUGCUCCCAGCUGGCGGGCAGGGUGCAGGGCCCGGGGAGCACCCGCAGCUGCACUGGAGGUGCUCGGAGGACUGUGGAGGGGCCGGGGCCGGGGCGGCCGGGGGCCUGCAGCGGGCAGCUGCCUGCGGGCUGCGGGGGCUUCCCACGGCACACGGCCCCGGGCCGCAGCCCCAUCGGCUGCUGGCGCUGCCGCUGCCACUUCCCUGCCAGCCGGGGAUGUUGCCAGCAGUGGGCAGGGGCAUUGGGGGGAGGCAUACCCGGCUUCAUCCCGCCGGGUAGGAGCUGGAGGAGGGGUAACUGCCUCUCCCCGGGUGGCAGAUGACCCACAAUUGUGUACAGCCCCUCAGGUGUGAGCUGAACCACAAUUGGGGGCACCUCCUGAGGUGGGAUCAGACCCACAGUUUCGGGCAUUGCCCCAGCUGGCAGCUGAACCACAGUUAGAGGCAUACCCCCAAGUGGCAGCUGCGCUCCCUGUCCCUGCACACCCGGUACCCCCGGCUGGACAGAGGCCUGAGGCACCAUGGAGGUGACAUUGGGGGCAGGGACGGACUGGAAGGAUACGGGCACUGCUCCGCCAAUGGUGGUCUGCAUCGCAGCAGUGGCCGGUGGGGGCACAAAGAUCCAAAUAAAGUUGCGUCGGGUGUCGGAAGCACCGUCAGCGAUGAAGGGAUUCUCUCUGUGGGGAAAUUCCCAAAUGGGCGCCGGGGUGAGAUGUGGGGCACUGGGACCCCCUGGAGGGCUGCAGUGCCAGGAGCAGGAGGAGCCUGCUGCCUUACCUGCCGUGGCAGCUCGAGAGUGGCAGUGGGGGAUUCCGUGAGCGCUGGACAUCCUCCCUGGCUGCCCCUCACGUUGCCUCCCAUGCAUGGGGGGGCUGCAUGAUGCCCUGCAGCCCCAUUGCCCCCAGGUAACACCAGCACUCCCCCCCCACCUUUAUGGCCUGGGAGCUGCCCCCUGGAGAACGAGCACAGCCUCUGCCUCCCAGUGAGUGCUCAGCAGGCCUGGCUGCUCCUGGGCACCUCCACUGCUUCCUCUGCACUCUUCUUCAGGGGAUUGCAAUGGCAGGGGGUUACCGUCCCACACCCGGACAACCCGUGCUGGAAUGUGCUGUGGCUUCCUGAAUUCUGUUGUAGUAAUAAAUAAGAACUGGUAGCCGAGUUGUGCAUAUGGUUUUGUUGUUAUGUCACUGCCAGACACUGCAGGUCUGAGGGAAGAUGAGGCCUCAGGGUGCAGUAGGAGUUCUCAUCUCCGUGUCUGAACGCACUGUGCCUGCGGUGUAUCACCACUGCCUUGCCAAAGUCUCGGCCUGAUCUGCCCUGCGAAGCUCAGUGCAAUCCCCCAGCAAGGAACUUGAAGGGAAAGAGCAUCUGGGGUUAUUUUUGGUUCUUGAUCUUUUCUCUCUGCCAUUCUUUGUUCUUUACAUCCAUUUUUUCUUCCCCAUCCUUUCAGGCUGUGGGGAGAGCUCAUUGCAGCCUCCCACUGUUUCAAGGGAGCUGAUAAACAGGAGGGAAAUGAACUUUUUCUGAGGGGAGAUGGAGGUGGGACAAAGGAGAAUGGUUUUAACAUAAACGAGGGGAGAUUUGGGUCAGAUGUGGGGGAAGGUAUUCACAGAGGGGGAGCUGAGGCAGCAGUGAUGGUGAUGAAGACCAUCAGUCAGGAGGAGCUGCAGGAGCGGCAGCUCUCGGCUCACUGCAACCACACCAACAUCCCUGGAGGUGGGCUUUGGGGUGCGGGGGGUCUUUGGUGCUGCAGGAACCACUGCAGGCAGAGGGGUAGCAAAGUGAAUACAAACCAUUCAAUAAUUUAAUGUAAUUUAAUGUAAUAUAAUUUAACAUAACAUAACAGAACAGAACAUAAGAUAAGGUGAUGUAACGGAGUCCCACAUGGUCGCAGUGCACGGUGGUGGUGGUGGACAGCCCAGGUUUGGAGGGGUAGGGCCGGGGCCGGUGCUGGUGCCCCUGGAGCACUGCCGCUGCUCUGUGUGUGCCGCGGGGGCCGGCGAGGAGCCCAGGGCUCCAGGCACGGUUUCUGCGGGCGCUCCCGCUUGUGCUGAGCCCACCCAGCCUCGCCUAG
RNAcentral lists this long non-coding RNA (2570 nucleotides) under Gallus gallus (chicken). Lineage: Eukaryota; Metazoa; Chordata; Aves; Galliformes; Phasianidae. The record is from RNAcentral.